AGACCUCUUGGCAUUUGGGACAAUACAGGGGAGCCAGGCAGGAGCUGAGCGAGUCCGAAGUGUAAAUAAAUCGUAGUUUAUAUGCACUAAUGGGUUUAAAAGAGGCCUGACCUGUUGGACUAUAGGAAGCUUCCUCUCUCAGGGGACCCAGGCCUAUUUUGAUAGCUGAGCCAUGCAGGUAAGGCAGGUAGGAUAAGGCGGCUGCAGGGACUGCACUUGGGAGAGGGUGCACAUCCAGCACACGAGCAGGGAGGCUUCCUGGAUGGCACCAACACCCCACACAUCCUAAGCACAGAGACAUCGGCUCAGUUAGUGGAUCAAUGGGGAGACAGCAGUGGCAUGGUCACGUUCACUAGCUCAGUGGUGGCCUUUUGGAAGUGGAACCCCCUCUCUGGGCCGGGUCUGUAUAAUUGGUUUCAUAACUCUGUCCCACACUGUGACAAUGGGAUAAAGGCCUCAUGUACAAUACACAUAUUUAUGAGCACCCUAAGCAUGAAAAGAAACAGGCUUUCCGCCACACCAGCUGGAUGCUCCUCGGGGCCAGCCCUGAGCUCAGCCUGCCCAGCCCUGGCAUGGGGCCAGCCUAUGGAAACAGGACUUGACCAUCAAAUGGUGAAUCCCGCUGGCCCCCACAUCCUCCAAGGGCCUGUUUGCGUGUCCUCCAGGCAACAGCCACCAACAGCUGUGCAGACAGGCAGGCCCAGGCCUGGCAGUGUGGGUGGGCCGCAGCACAGUAAGAAGAGGGCCCCCUACAACAGGCCACAGCUGUGCCCCUCUAACCCCAGAGACGGGGGCACCACUGUGGUCAUUCAAGUGACUCUGCACAGGUGACUACGGAAACGGGGACACACAUGGACCCUCCGUGGGCCCAGGUCACUGAAUAGUAUCAUGAACAGAGUCCCUUCCCCAUCACCUGCUUGGAUAUGUCAUGGGCAACAAAUAAACCUUUUGUUGAGGACAGAGAGACCAAGAGGACGUUUGUUAUUGCAGCCUAACCUACCUGUAUCCUUCCCGACGGGCCCAUUCUUGUGGAUGAUGGACAAUGGGCAAACUUGCCAUCCUGCUUCAGAUCAGAACACAGCUCCUCCAUCACCCCACCUGGGAGCCGCUGAGACGCCAAACCUUCACCCAAAGGCGCCAGAGGACACACAGCGCCUGAGCACCAGCCUUGCCAGCGUUGAGGAGGCUCAGAGCCCUGGUGUCCUCGCCCACAAUCGAGCAGCACCAGGUUCAAAUCCUGGCUCCUCAGCCCCACACAGCAUGCUGUGGGCACCAGCUCAUGUGCAGUAAGAUGGGGACAACCUGUCCUCCCUGCCUCACGGGCUGCAAGAGGACAGAGAGGCCCAGGGGUCAGUGGUGGGGAUGGGGAAUCCCCUGGUUUGAGCCUCACAUCACCUGGAGUUGGAAUCCGGCCCUGCCCCUUACUGGGUGAUCUUAGGCAAGUCACACAACCUCUCUGUACCUCAGUUUCCCCUGUCUGAAACACUCCAUCACAGCUUUUCUCUUAUAGUUACUAUGAGAAUUAAAUGAGCUAAUACAUGCACAGGGGUCUGGAACAGACCCUGGCACACAGCAAGUGCUCAAUAAAUGUUUACUGCCUGGCAUGUCAGUGUUGGUGAGAGCAUUAUCUGGGACAACCAAGGACACGGGUUCCCCUUUGGGCUCCCCCAGGGAACCAGCCUCACUGAAGGCGCCAGGUGCUCUGAUUUGCCCUUAAAGGCAAGAAUUAGGUAGCAGAGGGGUUCUGCCGGUGGCAAGACAUGAACACAGAUGGGCUGAGGCUUCUGGCGAGUCCCUGGGUCCCCAGGCCCUGGCAGGGGCUGGCAGAGACAGCAGGCAUUCCCCCCGGCCGAGC
Molecule: non-coding RNA, 1855 nt
Organism: Chlorocebus sabaeus (green monkey)
Lineage: Eukaryota; Metazoa; Chordata; Mammalia; Primates; Cercopithecidae
Source: RefSeq, a predicted model, not a curated record